RNAcentral lists this ribosomal RNA (439 nucleotides) under uncultured bacterium. Its description in RNAcentral is "partial 16S ribosomal RNA". It matches the Rfam family "Bacterial small subunit ribosomal RNA", at positions 338 to 795 of the family's 1533-position model. The record is from RNAcentral.
CCUACGGGAGGCAGCAGUAGGGAAUUUUGCGCAAUGGGCGAAAGCCUGACGCAGCAACGCCGCGUGAUCGAGACGCCCUUCGGGGUGUAAAGAUCUGUCAGUGGGGACGAAACUUGACGGUACCCACAGAGGAAGCACCGGCUAACUCCGUGCCAGCAGCCGCGGUAAUACGGGGGGUGCAAGCGUUGUCCGGAAUCAUUGGGCGUAAAGAGUUCGUAGGCGGCACGUAAAGUCAGCUGUAAAAUCGCGCGGCUCAACCGCGCCCCGCAGUUGAAACUGGACGCCUUGAGUUCACAACAGGCAGGCGGAAUUCGUGGUGUAGCGGUGAAAUGCAUAGAUAUCACGAGGAACCCCGAUUGCGAAGGCAGCCUGCCGGGGUGCGACUGACGCUGAGGCUCGAAGGUGCGGGUAUCAAACAGGAUUAGAUACCCUUGUAGUC